Molecule: ribosomal RNA, 440 nt
Filed under: uncultured bacterium
Lineage: Bacteria
Description: partial 16S ribosomal RNA
Rfam family: Bacterial small subunit ribosomal RNA
Source: RNAcentral
CCUACGGGUGGCAGCAGUAGGGAAUAUUGCUCAAUGGAGGAAACUCUGAAGCAGCAACGCCGCGUGGAGGAUGAAGGUUUUCGGAUUGUAAACUCCUUUUGUUAGAGAAGAUAAUGACGGUAUCUAACGGAUAAGCACCGGAUAACUCCGUGCCAGCAGCCGCGGGAAUACGGCGGGUGCAAGCGUUACUCGGAAUCACUGGGCGUAAAGGGCGCGUAGGCGGGUUCGCAGGUCAGAUGUGAAAUCCUAUGGCUUAACCAUAGAACUGCAUUGGAAACUGUUAGUCUAGAGUAUGGGAGAGGUAGGUGGAAUUCUUGGUGUAGCGGUAAAAUGCGUAGAGAUCAAGAGGAAUACUCAUUGCGAAGGCGACCUGCUAGACCAUAACUGACGCUGAUGCGCGAAAGCGUGGGGAGCAAACAGGAUUAGAUACCCUUGUAGUC